CAGACCGUAGCUAUCAACCACUCAGCCAUCUCUCC
RNAcentral lists this transfer RNA (35 nucleotides) under Stellaria decumbens var. pulvinata. Its description in RNAcentral is "partial tRNA-Ser". Lineage: Eukaryota; Viridiplantae; Streptophyta; Magnoliopsida; Caryophyllales; Caryophyllaceae. The record is from RNAcentral.